RNAcentral lists this ribosomal RNA (1205 nucleotides) under Staphylococcus epidermidis. RNAcentral's name for it is "bacterial SSU rRNA". It matches the Rfam family "Bacterial small subunit ribosomal RNA", at positions 36 to 1225 of the family's 1533-position model. Lineage: Bacteria; Bacillati; Bacillota; Bacilli; Caryophanales; Staphylococcaceae. The record is from RNAcentral.
CUGGCGGCGUGCUAUACAUGCAGUCGAGCGAACAGACGAGGAGCUUGCUCCUCUGACGUUAGCGGCGGACGGGUGAGUAACACGUGGAUAACCUACCUAUAAGACUGGGAUAACUUCGGGAAACCGGAGCUAAUACCGGAUAAUAUAUUGAACCGCAUGGUUCAAUAGUGAAAGACGGUUUUGCUGUCACUUAUAGAUGGAUCCGCGCCGCAUUAGCUAGUUGGUAAGGUAACGGCUUACCAAGGCAACGAUGCGUAGCCGACCUGAGAGGGUGAUCGGCCACACUGGAACUGAGACACGGUCCAGACUCCUACGGGAGGCAGCAGUAGGGAAUCUUCCGCAAUGGGCGAAAGCCUGACGGAGCAACGCCGCGUGAGUGAUGAAGGUCUUCGGAUCGUAAAACUCUGUUAUUAGGGAAGAACAAAUGUGUAAGUAACUAUGCACGUCUUGACGGUACCUAAUCAGAAAGCCACGGCUAACUACGUGCCAGCAGCCGCGGUAAUACGUAGGUGGCAAGCGUUAUCCGGAAUUAUUGGGCGUAAAGCGCGCGUAGGCGGUUUUUUAAGUCUGAUGUGAAAGCCCACGGCUCAACCGUGGAGGGUCAUUGGAAACUGGAAAACUUGAGUGCAGAAGAGGAAAGUGGAAUUCCAUGUGUAGCGGUGAAAUGCGCAGAGAUAUGGAGGAACACCAGUGGCGAAGGCGACUUUCUGGUCUGUAACUGACGCUGAUGUGCGAAAGCGUGGGGAUCAAACAGGAUUAGAUACCCUGGUAGUCCACGCCGUAAACGAUGAGUGCUAAGUGUUAGGGGGUUUCCGCCCCUUAGUGCUGCAGCUAACGCAUUAAGCACUCCGCCUGGGGAGUACGACCGCAAGGUUGAAACUCAAAGGAAUUGACGGGGACCCGCACAAGCGGUGGAGCAUGUGGUUUAAUUCGAAGCAACGCGAAGAACCUUACCAAAUCUUGACAUCCUCUGACCCCUCUAGAGAUAGAGUUUUCCCCUUCGGGGGACAGAGUGACAGGUGGUGCAUGGUUGUCGUCAGCUCGUGUCGUGAGAUGUUGGGUUAAGUCCCGCAACGAGCGCAACCCUUAAGCUUAGUUGCCAUCAUUAAGUUGGGCACUCUAAGUUGACUGCCGGUGACAAACCGGAGGAAGGUGGGGAUGACGUCAAAUCAUCAUGCCCCUUAUGAUUUGGGCUACACACGUGC